Molecule: ribosomal RNA, 395 nt
Filed under: uncultured bacterium
Lineage: Bacteria
Description: bacterial SSU rRNA
Rfam family: Bacterial small subunit ribosomal RNA
Source: RNAcentral
GACGAACGCUGGCGGCGUGCUUAACACAUGCAAGUCGAGCGGUAAGGCCCUUCGGGGUACACGAGCGGCGAACGGGUGAGUAACACGUGGGUGACCUGCCUCUAGCUCUGGGAUAAGCCUGGGAAACUGGGUCUAAUACCGGAUAUGACUCCACGGCGCAUGUUGUGGGGUGGAAAGCCUUGUGUGGCUAGAGAUGGGCCCGCGGCCUAUCAGCUUGUUGGUGGGGUGAUGGCCUACCAAGGCGACGACGGGUAGCCGGCCUGAGAGGGCGACCGGCCACGCUGGGACUGAGACACGGCCCAGACUCCUACGGGAGGCAGCAGUGGGGAAUAUUGGACAAUGGGCGAAAGCCUGAUCCAGCAACGCCGCGUGAGGGAUGACGGCCUCGGUGUAAC